This is a long non-coding RNA of Oncorhynchus keta (chum salmon), 796 nucleotides long. RefSeq lists it as uncharacterized. Lineage: Eukaryota; Metazoa; Chordata; Actinopteri; Salmoniformes; Salmonidae. The record is from RefSeq and is a predicted model, not a curated record. The transcript is spliced from 3 exons.
UGUUUUGAUAUUUUAGGAUCUUUUAAAUUAAUUUACUCCAGACAUCUUGGAUCAUGGGAACUUACCGGUAACAUAUAUUUAUCGGAGAUAGGAAAUAUUACUACAUUAUAUUCAUCAUACUGUUUCCUCUAGGUUCCAGUGCCCCAGUGCAGGUCUGUUCCAGUGCAGUAUAACAGGCCUGGUGUUCAGGAUGGAGGGAGAGGGAGAGGUGCUCUAUAGGACAGUCCCCUGGGACAGGAAUCUUCUAUUCCAGAGAGGCAAGAGACCUGCAGGACCUCUGUUCAUGUUUACAUGCCUUAAGGGGUCUGUCUGUCAACUACACCUCCCACACUGUCAGAUGCAUUCUGGUGGUGGAUGUGACUUCCUGUCUGUAGCCCAUGUGACUGAUGACAUCAUUGAGUUUCUCCCUCCUCUUGAGACAACAGACACACAUGUCAUAAUAUACAUCACUGGAUUCUGUCUCGGUGCGGGAGGUGAUUGAAAGGGAUGGAAUUAGAGAAAUUCUAACAACUUCUCAGUGUAAACUAACCCUGAAAAAAGAAUACACCCUCUCCACUUAUUCUGCAGAUGGACAUCGAAUACAACCAAAAGUAAAUCUGGGAUAUUUUUCAAUAACAAUUUUUUAUAUUCCUAUGUAACUUUGAAUUUCAUUCUCACUUAUCAUUUCACUGACAACAAAGGUCUCUUGAUUUCAGGAAGCAGAGUUUGUGAAAUGUGAUUCCUAUGAAAACUACUACUACCCCACAUUUCAGUUGUUCUUACAAACUAUAGUUAAAGAAGUUGAUCUGCUUCUGAA